GGAGGAAUACCCAAGUGGUUGAAGGGGUCGGUUUCGAAAACCGAUAGAUGGCGCAAGCUAUGCAGGGGUUCAAAUCCCUUUUCCUCCGCCA
This 91-nucleotide transfer RNA is filed under the name Bacillota bacterium. Its description in RNAcentral is "tRNA-Ser". It matches the Rfam family "tRNA". From Rfam's summary of the family: Transfer RNA (tRNA) molecules are approximately 80 nucleotides in length. Their secondary structure includes four short double-helical elements and three loops (D, anti-codon, and T loops). Further hydrogen bonds mediate the characteristic L-shaped molecular structure. tRNAs have two regions of fundamental functional importance: the anti-codon, which is responsible for specific mRNA codon recognition, and the 3' end, to which the tRNAs corresponding amino acid is attached (by aminoacyl-tRNA synthetases). tRNAs cope with the degeneracy of the genetic code in two manners: having more than one tRNA (with a specific anti-codon) for a particular amino acid; and 'wobble' base-pairing, i.e. permitting non-standard base-pairing at the 3rd anti-codon position. The record is from RNAcentral. Lineage: Bacteria; Bacillati; Bacillota.